Molecule: transfer RNA, 75 nt
Filed under: Candidatus Magasanikiibacteriota bacterium
Lineage: Bacteria; Candidatus Magasanikiibacteriota
Description: Candidatus Magasanikbacteria bacterium tRNA-Phe
Rfam family: tRNA
About the family: Transfer RNA (tRNA) molecules are approximately 80 nucleotides in length.
Source: RNAcentral
GCCGGGGUAGCUCAGUGGUAGAGCAGAGGACUGAAAAUCCUNNUGUCGCCAGUUCGAUCCUGGCCCCCGGCACGA